This 298-nucleotide ribosomal RNA is filed under the name Paractenopsyllus madagascarensis. RNAcentral describes it as "partial 12S ribosomal RNA". The record is from RNAcentral. Lineage: Eukaryota; Metazoa; Arthropoda; Insecta; Siphonaptera; Leptopsyllidae.
AUAUUAAAGUAGUAUUAGUUAUAUUCUUGAAACUUAAAGAAUUUGGCGGUAUUUUAAUCUAUUUAGAGGAACCUGUCCUGUAAUCGAUAAUCCUCGUUAAAUUUUACUGAAUUAUUUGUAUAUCGUUGUCGAAAAAAUAAAUUUUUAAGUAUUAUUAAUAUAAUAGAUGUCAAAUCAAGGUGCAGUUUAUAAUUUAGAAGAGAUGGGUUACAAUAAAGUUAUUUAGGAAUUUAAUGAAGAUGGAUUUAAAUGUAAAUUAUUUUUAAAAUAAAUAGUUGAUUAAAGUUCUAAAAUAUGU